Molecule: ribosomal RNA, 1288 nt
Filed under: uncultured bacterium
Lineage: Bacteria
Description: bacterial SSU rRNA
Rfam family: Bacterial small subunit ribosomal RNA
Source: RNAcentral
UAACUUAGUGGCGAACGGGUGAGUAACGCGUGAGUAACCUGCCCUGGAGUGGGGGACAACAGUUGGAAACGACUGCUAAUACCGCAUAAGCCCACGAUCCGGCAUCGGAUUGAGGGAAAAGGAUUUAUUCGCUUCAGGAUGGACUCGCGUCCAAUUAGCUAGUUGGUGAGGUAACGGCCCACCAAGGCGACGAUUGGUAGCCGGACUGAGAGGUUGAACGGCCACAUUGGGACUGAGACACGGCCCAGACUCCUACGGGAGGCAGCAGUGGGGGAUAUUGCACAAUGGGGGAAACCCUGAUGCAGCGACGCCGCGUGGAGGAAGAAGGUUUUCGGAUUGUAAACUCCUGUCGUUAGGGACGAUAAUGACGGUACCUAACAAGAAAGCACCGGCUAACUACGUGCCAGCAGCCGCGGUAAAACGUAGGGUGCAAGCGUUGUCCGGAAUUACUGGGUGUAAAGGGAGCGCAGGCGGACCGGCAAGUUGGAAGUGAAAUCCAUGGGCUCAACCCGUGAAUUGCUUUCAAAACUGCUGGCCUUGAGUAGUGCAGAGGUAGGUGGAAUUCCCGGUGUAGCGGUGGAAUGCGUAGAUAUCGGGAGGAACACCAGUGGCGAAGGCGACCUACUGGGCACCAACUGACGCUGAGGCUCGAAAGCAUGGGUAGCAAACAGGAUUAGAUACCCUGGUAGUCCAUGCCGUAAACGAUGAUUACUAGGUGUUGGAGGAUUGACCCCUUCAGUGCCGUAGUUAACACAAUAAGUAAUCCACCUGGGGAGUACGACCGCAAGGUUGAAACUCAAAGGAAUUGACGGGGGCCCGCACAAGCAGUGGAGUAUGUGGUUUAAUUCGAAGCAACGCGAAGAACCUUACCAGGUCUUGACAUCCGAUGCAUAGUGCAGAGAUGCAUGAAGUCCUUCGGGACAUCGAGACAGGUGGUGCAUGGUUGUCGUCAGCUCGUGUCGUGAGAUGUUGGGUUAAGUCCCGCAACGAGCGCAACCCUUAUUGCCAGUUACUACGCAAGAGGACUCUGGCGAGACUGCCGUUGACAAAACGGAGGAAGGUGGGGAUGACGUCAAAUCAUCAUGCCCUUUAUGACCUGGGCUACACACGUACUACAAUGGCGUUUAACAAAGAGAAGCAAGACCGCGAGGUGGAGCAAAACUCAAAAACAACGUCUCAGUUCAGAUUGCAGGCUGCAACUCGCCUGCAUGAAGUCGGAAUUGCUAGUAAUCGCGGAUCAGCAUGCCGCGGUGAAUACGUUCCCGGGCCUUGCACUCACCGCCCGUCA